CAGUAGCCGCGGGAAUACAGAGGGUGCGAGCGUUAAUCGGAUUUACUGGGCGUAAAGCGUGCGUAGGCGGCUUUUUAAGUCGGAUGUGAAAUCCCUGAGCUUAACUUAGGAAUUGCAUUCGAUACUGGGAAGCUAGAGUAUGGGAGAGGAUGGUAUAAUUCCAGGUGUAGCGGUGAAAUGCGUAGAGAUCUGGAGGAAUACCGAUGGCGAAGGCAGCCAUCUGGCCUAAUACUGACGCUGAGGUACGAAAGCAUGGGGAGCAAACAGGAUUAGAUACCCCUGUAGUCCCUGUCUCUUAUAC
RNAcentral lists this ribosomal RNA (301 nucleotides) under uncultured bacterium. RNAcentral's name for it is "partial 16S ribosomal RNA". It matches the Rfam family "Bacterial small subunit ribosomal RNA", at positions 509 to 807 of the family's 1533-position model. The record is from RNAcentral.